This 695-nucleotide unclassified non-coding RNA is filed under the name uncultured Glomeromycotina. RNAcentral describes it as "partial contains 18S rRNA, ITS1, 5.8S rRNA, ITS2, 28S rRNA". The stretch from base 181 to 334 matches the Rfam family "5.8S ribosomal RNA". Lineage: Eukaryota; Fungi; Glomeromycota. The record is from RNAcentral.
AUUCUUGGUCAUUUUAGAGGAAGUAAAAGUCGUAACAAGGUUUCCGUAGGUGAACCUGCGGAAGGAUCAUUACCAAUUCGAUAGGUGCCUCGGGGUUUUCCAACCCCGUGGCACUUUCAACCAACCCUGGACCGUGUACAAGUCUCCUGAAUUAUAUUAUGUAUAUAAUAAAUAAAAGAUCACUUUCAACAACGGAUCUCUUGGCUCUCGCAUCGAUGAAGAACGUAGCGAAGUGCGAUAAGUAAUGUGAAUUGCAGAAUUCCGUGAAUCAUCGAAUCUUUGAACGCAAAUUGCACUCUCUGGCAACCCGGGGAGUAUGCCUGUUUGAGGGUCAGUGUUAAUAAAAAUCGGGUUCGUUGCAAUUUUUGUGACGUUUCCGGAGUUUGAGUUAUCUUAACCUUCGGUUUUAAGAGGCUUAAAAUUGACCCUUUUUUGUGCAUUUUAGACGUACAUAAAUUUUUUUUUUAUUCGUCCAUCCUAAUGCCAAAAUCUAUUAGAUGCGACCAUAUCUUGUGGUUCCGUGUCUAUAAAUUUUUCAUGAUUUGACCUCAAAUCAGGUAGGAACACCCGCUGAACUUAAGCAUAUCAAUAAGCGGAGGAAAAGAAAAUAACAAUGAUUCCCCUAGUAACUGCGAGUGAAGAGGGACAAGCUCAAAUUUUAAAUCUGUCGGGUUUUACCUGAUCGAGUUGUAAUU